RNAcentral lists this ribosomal RNA (253 nucleotides) under uncultured bacterium. Its description in RNAcentral is "partial 16S ribosomal RNA". It matches the Rfam family "Bacterial small subunit ribosomal RNA", at positions 524 to 776 of the family's 1533-position model. The record is from RNAcentral.
UACGUAGGGUGCAAGCGUUGUCCGGAAUUAUUGGGCGUAAAGAGCUCGUAGGCGGCUUGUCGCGUCGACUGUGAAAUCCCGGGGCUUAACUUCGGGCUUGCAGUCGAUACGGGCUGGCUUGAGUGCGGUAGGGGAGACUGGAAUUCCUGGUGUAGCGGUGAAAUGCGCAGAUAUCUGGAGGAACACCGGUGGCGAAGGCGGCAUCCUGGACCGGCAUUGACGCUGAGGCGCGAAAGCCAGGGGAGCAAACGGG